GACGAACGCUGGCGGCGUGCUUAACACAUGCAAGUCGAACGGAAAGGCCCUGCUUGCAGGGUACUCGAGUGGCGAACGGGUGAGUAACACGUGGGUGAUCUGCCCUGCACUUCGGGAUAAGCUUGGGAAACUGGGUCUAAUACCGGAUAGGAACCAUCUUUAGUGUGGUGGUUGGAAAGUUUUUUCGGUGUAGGAUGAGCUCGCGGCCUAUCAGCUUGUUGGUGGGGUAAUGGCCUACCAAGGCGGCGACGGGUAGCCGGCCUGAGGGGGUGUACGGCCACAUUGGGACUGAGAUACGGCCCAGACUCCUACGGGAGGCAGCAGUGGGGAAUAUUGCACAAUGGGCGCAAGCCUGAUGCAGCGACGCCGCGUGGGGGAUGAAGGCCUUCGGGUUGUAAACUCCUUUCGCUAGGGACGAAGCUUUUUGUGACGGUACCUAGAUAAGAAGCACCGGCUAACUACGUG
RNAcentral lists this ribosomal RNA (465 nucleotides) under uncultured bacterium. Its description in RNAcentral is "partial 16S ribosomal RNA". It matches the Rfam family "Bacterial small subunit ribosomal RNA", at positions 28 to 507 of the family's 1533-position model. The record is from RNAcentral.